AUGUGGCAGAGCUUCCAGAAGAAAU
Molecule: non-coding RNA, 25 nt
Filed under: Cricetulus griseus (Chinese hamster)
Lineage: Eukaryota; Metazoa; Chordata; Mammalia; Rodentia; Cricetidae
Source: RNAcentral